AUUGAACGCUGGCGGCAGGCUUAACACAUGCAAGUCGAGCGGGGGAAGGUAGCUUGCUACCGGACCUAGCGGCGGACGGGUGAGUAAUGCUUAGGAAUCUGCCUAUUAAUGGGGGACAACAUUCCGAAAGGAAUGCUAAUACCGCAUACGUCCUACGGGGGAAAGCAGGGGAUCUUCGGACCUUGCGCUAAUAGAUGAGCCUAAGUCGGAUUAGCUAGUUGGUGGGGUAAAGGCCUAACAAGGCGACGAUCUGUAGCGGGUCUGAGAGGAUGAUCCGCCACACUGGGACUGAGACACGGCCCAGACUCCUACGGGAGGCAGCAGUGGGGAAUAUUGGACAAUGGGGGGAACCCUGAUCCAGCCAUGCCGCGUGUGUGAAGAAGGCCUUUUGGUUGUGAAGCACUUUAAGCGAGGAGGAGGCUCCUUUAGUUAAUACCUAAAGAGAGUGGACGUUACUCGCAGAAUAAGCACCGGCUAACUCUGUGCCAGCCGCCGCCGUAA
This 501-nucleotide ribosomal RNA is filed under the name uncultured bacterium. Its description in RNAcentral is "partial 16S ribosomal RNA". It matches the Rfam family "Bacterial small subunit ribosomal RNA", at positions 30 to 523 of the family's 1533-position model. The record is from RNAcentral.